ACACCGGCGGCCCGAGUGGUAACCGUUUUUAUUGGGUUUAAAGGGUCCGUAGCCGGCCUAUUAAGUCUCUUGGGAAAUCUGGCGGCUUAAUCGUCAGGCGGCCAAGAGAUACUGAUAGGCUCGGGACCGGGAGAGGUGGGAGGUACUCCAGGGGUAGGGGUGAAAUCUCGUAAUCCUUGGGGGACCACCGAUGGCGAAGGCAUCCCACCAGAACGGGUCCGACGGUGAGGGACGAAAGCUGGGGGCACGAACCGGAUUAGAUACCCGGGUAGUCCCAGCUGUAAACGAUGCUCGCUAGGUGUCAGAUGCGGUGCGACCGCAUCUGGUGCCGCAGUGAAAACUUGAAGCGAGUCACCUGGGAAGUACGGUCGCAAGGCUGAA
This 381-nucleotide ribosomal RNA is filed under the name uncultured archaeon. RNAcentral describes it as "bacterial SSU rRNA". It matches the Rfam family "Archaeal small subunit ribosomal RNA", at positions 473 to 853 of the family's 1478-position model. The record is from RNAcentral.